Long non-coding RNA from Panicum virgatum (switchgrass), 722 nucleotides. RefSeq lists it as uncharacterized. The transcript is spliced from 2 exons. The record is from RefSeq and is a predicted model, not a curated record. NCBI's taxonomy places the organism in Eukaryota, Viridiplantae, Streptophyta, Magnoliopsida, Poales, Poaceae.
AAAGGUUUGUGCAAUGGAACUAGACUCAUAGUGACACAACUCACUCAUCGUAUAAUUGAAGCUCAGAUAAUCACAGGAAAGGCUACAGGAUCUAAAGCUUACAUUCCAAGAAUAACUUCUGUCUCAUGUGAUCCAAAAUGGCCUUUUAAGAUAAAGCGUCGUCAAUUCCCAGUCCGUGUAUCCUAUGCCAUGACAAUAAACAAAAGCCAAGGACAAACACUUAGCAAAGUUGGCGUCUAUUUACCAAGCCCCGUAUUCUCUCAUGGGCAGCUUUAUGUUGCAUUCUCACGUGUGACAUCACCUACAGGCUUACGUGUGCUCAUUGAGAACAACUCUGAGAGGUAUGAAAACCACACACAUAACGUGGUAUACACUGAGAUUUUCAAUGACCUAACAAGCCGGCGUAAUUAUUAGUUCCAGGUCUUCUACUUUUGGCUGUUUCCAUUCCAAACCACUUGAUCAUCUAUUCCUCCGUUGAUCAAUUAUAUUCUACCAAUAUGCUUAUAGCCAGUCUAACAUGUAUAUCCAAUCAGGUCAUAGGUGUUUCCAAUUCACCAUAUGACAUACUUUAGCCGUGUAUGUUUUUUUCAAUGCAGCAACAAUGGAAAUAUGUCUCUUCUGCUUUUGUGUCACCAAAUAUUAAACUUCUGGUGACCAUGUAAAAUUUAAUACGAUCAACCAUGACGUCCACAAAUAAUACCGACUAAAAGGUUUCGUGAUUC